UGGUGGCGAUAGCGAAGAGGUCACACCCGUUCCCAUACCGAACACGGAAGUUAAGCUCUUCAGCGCCGAUGGUAGUCGGGGGUUUCCCCCUGUGAGAGUAGGACGCCGCCAA
Molecule: ribosomal RNA, 112 nt
Filed under: Bacillus subtilis
Lineage: Bacteria; Bacillati; Bacillota; Bacilli; Caryophanales; Bacillaceae
Also listed under: 3 other names
Source: RNAcentral